This 697-nucleotide long non-coding RNA is filed under the name Homo sapiens (human). Its description in RNAcentral is "non-protein coding GLYCTK-AS1:6". The record is from RNAcentral. Lineage: Eukaryota; Metazoa; Chordata; Mammalia; Primates; Hominidae.
UCAUCUGUACUACAUAUGUACUAUUGCAUCUACUUUAAUAAAUGCCUACCAUAAAUGUUGCAAGCUGACUUCAUCAGCAAGUAUGGACUGAGCAGGGUAAGGAGGCUGGGAAUUGAGGUUCCAGCUCUACUAUAGGCUUUCUGAGUGGCUGGGACACCUCCAUUUCUCUCACUGGGCCUCAUCCGCAAAAUGAGACAUGGGGUGAGAUUAACACUACGCUCUUCCCUUAACAACCUCAGGCUCUCUGAUACUGUCCACUGCAACACAGAUCUCAAACACCGGUUUACCCCACACCCAAAUAUGGUGGUUACUUCUAGACUUUGACCAUUUUGCUUGCCUAGUUCUCAGCUCUCCGGUAAGAAAAGACAGCCAUGCCUGACUUCUGUUGUGAAAGGGAACACAGAGGGCAUCGUCAUGGGGAUUCCGAAAAUGGGUCCAGUUUUGGCCAGGGGGACCCCUGGAGCUUGCCCAUUGGACUUGGAGCUAAAAGCAUCUUAGCAACUAAGACAGCCGGUCUUUAUAGCCUGGAUGAAAUUUGUAUCUAUUUCCCAGAUGGACAAGAGCCUAGAAGAUCCCAGCCUUGCCACUGGGUAUGAGCACAGGACAGGGGGACGCUCAAUGCUAAGGCUGCCAGAGAAAAUACAGGACUUCCGGUUAAAUUUGAAUUUCAAAUAAACAAGUAAUUUUUAAAGUAUAA